This 661-nucleotide small RNA is filed under the name Vigna angularis var. angularis. RNAcentral's name for it is "Non-protein coding transcript". Lineage: Eukaryota; Viridiplantae; Streptophyta; Magnoliopsida; Fabales; Fabaceae. The record is from RNAcentral.
AAGCGUUACAAAUGGGAGCCUCUGAAGAAGGACGUUGAGCUGGGAAACUCUACCUAUCCCAUGGUUCUCGUUCAAGUCCCAAUGUACAACGAAAGAGAGGUAGCACAACAGAUUAUCUUUCUCCAUCUGUUUUCACUCACUCGUCUUUGACGUGCGUUUUUUCAUAUUUCUGAAUGCAGGUUUAUCAGCUCUCAAUUGGUGCCGCUUGUGGGCUUUCUUCAUGGUAUUUAUUCUUAACCUCUACAGGUUAAUGCUGUUGAAGUUUUUAUGACAGAUGUUAAAACAAGUGAUGGGGCUUGUUAUCUAGCACUCAAGGUAUCCAAAUCCAAGAUGCAUCGUGAUUUUUGGGGUUUUUAAGAAAACUAUGGCUAUCGUUAUGAGGGUGAUCAUACUCGAGCCUUACUUCCUUGUGAGAGUGAAGGAGAAAACAUGAAGGCCGUGUGGAGCCCUGAUGCCAAAUUAAUUGUUAUUCUUACAUCUACCUUCUUUCUUCAUAGUUUCAAAGUCCAGUUCUCAGAUAAAAGAAUACACACUGGUGGUAGACAACCCUCUGCUCUCUACCUAGCUAUAAUUUCUCUUCUGCUUACAGAGCAAGUUCCUUUUGCAGUAAAGGAUUUGUAUGUGUGAGUUUCCUUCUCGUUUUAAUUUUAUAAUUUUCUUC